GUGCCAGCAGCCGCGGUAAUACGGGGGGUGCAAGCGUUAAUCGGAAUUACUGGGCGUAAAGCGCACGCAGGCGGUUUGUUAAGUCAGAUGUGAAAUCCCCGGGCUCAACCUGGGAACUGCAUUUGAAACUGGCAAGCUAGAGUCUCGUAGGGGGGGGUAGAAUUCCAGGUGUAGCGGUGAAAUGCGUAGAGAUCUGGGGGAAUACCGGUGGCGAAGGCGGCCCCCUGGACGAAGACUGACGCUCAGGUGCGAAAGCGUGGGGAGCAAAAAGGAUUAGAUACCCUGGUAGUCC
Molecule: ribosomal RNA, 292 nt
Filed under: uncultured microorganism
Description: partial 16S ribosomal RNA
Rfam family: Bacterial small subunit ribosomal RNA
Source: RNAcentral